RNAcentral lists this ribosomal RNA (479 nucleotides) under uncultured Tomentella. RNAcentral describes it as "eukaryotic LSU rRNA". The stretch from base 171 to 325 matches the Rfam family "5.8S ribosomal RNA". Lineage: Eukaryota; Fungi; Basidiomycota; Agaricomycetes; Thelephorales; Thelephoraceae. The record is from RNAcentral.
CCUCAAAUGGGGGCAUGUGCACGCUCUGUUUACACAUCCACUCACACCUGUGCACCCUCUGUAGUUCCAUGGCAUGGAGGCUCUGUCCUCCUGCUGCGGUUCUAUGUCUUUACACACACACUGUAACAAAGUCUCAUGGAAUGCAUAUCGCGUUUAACGCAAUACAAUACAACUUUCAGCAACGGAUCUCUUGGCUCUCGCAUCGAUGAAGAACGCAGCGAAAUGCGAUAAGUAAUGUGAAUUGCAGAAUUCAGUGAAUCAUCGAAUCUUUGAACGCACCUUGCGCCCUUUGGCUAUUCCGAAGGGCAUGCCUGUUUGAGUAUCAUGAACACCUCAACUCUCAUGGUUUUUCUGUGAAGAGCUUGGACUUUGGGGGUCUUGCUGGUCUAUAUGGUCAGCUCCUCUUAAAUGAAUCAGCUUGCCAGUGUUUGGUGCAUCGCAGGUGUGAUACUAUCUACGCUUGUGGUUUCCAUCAGUAC